GGUGGGAGCGCGAGAGAGUUUUUACUUAAACACAUAUUUCCUUAUUUUCUCGACGAUACAGCGAUUCCGUUUCCCAUUAUAUGAGCAUUAAUUUCCCCACUCUUAAACUCGCUUUAAUAAUAACGCUGGAACCAGAAUAAGCCCCUCUGUCCGAAAUGUAAGCGUAAUGCCUUAUAUAGACUCGGCGGCAGCCGGCAGGCAGGGCAGAGGCCCGCGGGCCGUUACCGCCCAUUAUUAUACAAACAGGUACAGAGGCGGCGACCGGAGCUGGGGGCACCUCACCCCAGGCGCUCUCCGCCGCCCCCGAGCUGAAAAGUCGCGUCCCUCUCGCCAGAAGAACUAUCCAGACAAUAAAAAUCAGCAGACAUUUCGCUGCUGAACAAGUGGCAGAGAAAGGACAGAAUCACCACCGAGAUAAGCAGAAAUACAAUCAACUUACAACGUCUCUCCAAACUGGAAAAGGCGACUGUGCAACAGCCACAUGUUUGGGGCUCUCUCUCUCUUUUUUUUUAACUCUCGCUCCAGGCAGAGGGGGUGUGUGUUUCCCCGACAAAUCAGCACAAAUCAAUAAACACUGCAGCUGCAGCAAGAGCAGCAGAAACGUACGUCUGUCGGUCCGUCUGCUCCCUCCCCCACUCUUCCUUUCCACCCGAGACCGAGAGCGCCAUCCAAGGUCUAUUAUCCGGCUUCAGUGCUCAGUGCGUCCGGCCCAGGUAACAACUUCCCCCAAAAACCGAAAGAGAAAAAAGAGAGGCGUACGCACAAAACCCCAUCCCAGCGCGGAGAAUAAGUCCUCACUGGGGUGGGGGGAUCUGUCUGUGGUGCUUCCCUGUCUCGAAGACCAGGUAACAACAACUCCACAAACACACCCCGGUGCCAAGCUAGCCGCCAUCCAGAGGUUUCCCAGGAAGCAGCAAAUUCAGCACUGCUUCUCCCUUCUUCUGGAGACACUUUGCUGCUUGGUUUCCCCCGGUGUGGGAAACGUAUCCUGAGUGCUACUGCUUGCCUCAGCCUGUGCGCACAGGCCAAUCCAGCCUGCAGGAUGCUGGCCAGGUAGUCACCGAGAAAUGGAUACAGCAUCAUGGAAAGGCAAAUAAUUUUAUCAAGAAUUAAAGACAUCACAAUGGGAAUCAAUGAGUCUAUCAAGACAGGAUGUGAAGGCAUCAGAAACUCUUAGAAAUGAACCAGUGGACACCAUCUGUAUUAAUGCGCUCCAAAGGUGCCAUCAAUCCUAUGUACAACGGAACAAAAGACUGCCCGGUCCUGCACCAUCCGCACAAUCGUUUCUAUGCUUGAGCCCAUUGCUGCGGCCACUGUGUCAGUCCAUCUCGUGGAGGGUCCUCCUCUCUUUUGCUGACCCUCUGCUUUACCCAGCAUGAAUUCUUUCUCCAGGGACAAGCACGUGAGAUGAAGUCUUGCCAUCCUCGCUUCUAAGGAGCAUUCUGGAUGUGCUUCUUGUCUCAGAAGAAAGCAUUAUAUAGUUGCCAUCUUUAAGAGUCAUUCCCUUUUCUGCUCUUUUUACAUUACCAACUUUAAUUUUAGGCAUUUAUAAUGUGUCAAGGACAAAGCUGGCAUAACAUGUUUUCUCUUGAUAUUUAAAAGAUAAAAGUUACAUGACAUUUUAAGAUUUAAAAUAUUUCUGCCAGGGUUAACAUUAUGCAUAAAUGAAAUCCAUUCAUUUAUUUAGUCAAUAUUCAUUCCAAUAAACAGCUACUGAAAGUUUGUUCAAUAUAAACCACUGAGCCAAGCAGUGGUAGGAUUACAAAGAUGAAUAAAAUAUAGCUCCUGCUUCAUGGGGAGUGCAUUUGUUAGGCUAAUUACUUAGCUGCUGUUAAUAAAGAGAUCUAAAGCUACAAUGGCUUAAGUAAGGUAGAAAUGUGCUUAUUUCCCCUGUAGCAUUCCAGAGGCAAGUGUGUCCCUGAGCAUAUAGAUUCUAAGACUGCUUCAGACAUAGUCAAAUUUCCCAGCUAGCAGGAAGGAGAAAUUCAGGACAAGCAAUCUGCUAUUAAGAUGAUGUGGGAAUCAAAUGUAUCAUUUCUCCUCUACAUCUCAUUGGAGCGAAUUUAUCCUCACAGUCACACCUGGGAAAUGCAUGUGAUUAAAAGGGCCCUGACAUUACACAUGCAAUAACAUGGAAGAAUCUCUAGAACAUUAUGUUAAGUGGAAGAAGUCCAUUACAAAAGAUUACAUACUGUAUAUUUCCAUGUAUGUGAAACUUUGGAACAGGCAAAACUAUAGUGCUAGCAGAUCAGUGAUUGCCUGGGCCAGGGUUCUAGGAGGUGCUAAACUUGCAAAGAGGCACUAAGAAACAUUUUGGAGUGAUGAAAAUAUUCUAGAUCUUGAUUGUGGUUACAUGACUGUAUACAGUUACCAAAAUUCAUCAAGCUCUAUGCCAAAAGUGAGUUAAUUAUUGUUGUUGCUAUUGUGAUUAUUACCUUGAGUGGAGCUGGUAAAACUUUAAGGGAGUAAAAAAAAUCACUGGUUAAAAUUGGAAUUCUUGAGCCAAGAAACUAAUGUUGCUUUAUAUGGUUUGGAUUGCUUUUCAAGGAAAAAAAAAAGUUGGCAAGUACAUUUGUUCAUUGAGGUAGUUAGUAAUGACUGUUACACAAACAGCCCUGAAGCUCAGGAGCUAACUGAGAAAUAAACACAAUAAAAUAUUUAUUUUUCAUUCAAGUCACAGUCCUAUGGGGUGAUGGUUGGGGCAGCUUUCCUAGGUUGCUCUCCUUCUAGCAGCAACUAGAGAUCUAGCCUGUUCAUCUAGUGGAUCCAUUCCCUUCUGGGGCCUUGGAGUCCUUUGGGAUCUUGAAAUCAUCUGCUAGAUCCUCUGCAGCCAGCUGGCCAAUGAAAGGGGGAAGGUGAGCACAGGGUCUCUGAUGAGAUUUCAGGGGCCAGGUCUGGAAGUGGCACACAUCACUAUUGCCCAUAUUGCAAUGGCCAGAAGGAGUCACAUGACCACACCUAAAUGAACACCUGGAAAUGUAGUCUUCUCGUGUGUCCAGAAAGAGAAUGAAAUGAUUUGUGAACCUGUACCAUUGUGCCUGCCAAAAGAUUAUAAAGAAGCAGAAAAAAAUUGUUAUCAAUCCCAGUCUGGAAACAACAGCUAUUAAGAGAGUCUGAUAUAUUUUUUUUUGGAAGAAAAUCCUGGUGAUCUGCUUCCACUAAAUCAGCCAGUGAAAACUCUGUGGAUCGCAAUUGCCCAGUCCACAAUCGAUCGUGGGGAUGGUGCAAGAUGGGGAACGUUUAGUUCUGUUGUGCAUGGGGUCAACAUGAGUCAGGGUCAGCUCGUAGCAGCUAAUGACAGCAACAUUUUCUUCUCAUCUUUUUAUCUAUGCAUUAAAAUUUUAACAUUCAGGGAUUAUGUAUCUAAUUUUUAUACUUAUUUUUCAAUAAAUAUUAUUAUGUAAAACUUUAUUAUUUAAAAGUUCAAAUCCUAUUUUGCAACAUACUAAUUGAGUGAAUAUGGGAAAGUUUCUAGGGCUCAGGAUUUUGUUUUGUUUUUUCCAAUUUUAUGAAAUGACCUAAAUGAUCCCUACCAAACAAGGCUAGCCUAAGGAUUAAAUGAGAUAGUUCAUGUAGAAUAUACAGCAUAGGGUCUGACACAUAGUGGAGCCCUGGUGGUACAGUGGUUAAGAGCUACUGUGAGCUAUGGCUGCUAACCAAAAUGUCAGGAGUUUGAAUCCAUAGCUGCUCCUUGGAAACCCUAUGGGGCAAUUCUACUCUGUCCUAUAGGGCCACUAUGAGUCAGAAUCAACUCGACUGCAACGGGUUUGGUUUUUUUGGUUUUGACACAUAGUAGGCAGCUAAUCCUGAGUUUUCCUUGCAUGAAGAGCAUACUGAUUUAAUCAUUGUAACUCCAUAAUAUGUUUUAAUAUUUGCUUGGGCUAGUCCUUUAUCAGACUCCUUUUAAUAAAGGAAUUACACACUGUUUUUGAUAGUUUAUUCUUCCAGGUGAACUACAGAGCCAUUUGUUUUCUGUGAAAAGUGUGUCUUAGCCUGGCUUCUCCAGAAAGCAGAGGCCAAGACAAAGGAUUUAUGCUUAUUAGGGAGUCCAGCCCUAGGGAACAUCAUGAGGGACAAGGGUAAUGAAGCAGGGAAGGAGAGAGAGCCAAUAGAAGAAGGUGUCAUCUAGCUGGCUGUUGCUCUGGGUAACUGUUCAAUCCUACAGGCUCUCCUCUGAGAAGUUAUAGAGAGAGUAUCUUAGUCAUCUAG
Long non-coding RNA from Loxodonta africana (African savanna elephant), 4209 nucleotides. RefSeq lists it as uncharacterized. The transcript is spliced from 5 exons. The record is from RefSeq and is a predicted model, not a curated record. Lineage: Eukaryota; Metazoa; Chordata; Mammalia; Proboscidea; Elephantidae.